This 468-nucleotide ribosomal RNA is filed under the name uncultured bacterium. RNAcentral describes it as "partial 16S ribosomal RNA". It matches the Rfam family "Bacterial small subunit ribosomal RNA", at positions 28 to 507 of the family's 1533-position model. The record is from RNAcentral.
GACGAACGCUGGCGGCGUGCUUAACACAUGCAAGUCGAACGGAAAGGCCCUGCUUUUGUGGGGUGCUCGAGUGGCGAACGGGUGAGUAACACGUGAGUAACCUGCCCUUGACUUUGGGAUAACUUCAGGAAACUGGGGCUAAUACCGGAUAGGAGCUCCUGCUGCAUGGUGGGGGUUGGAAAGUUUCGGCGGUUGGGGAUGGACUCGCGGCUUAUCAGCUUGUUGGUGGGGUAGUGGCUUACCAAGGCUUUGACGGGUAGCCGGCCUGUGAGGGUGACCGGCCCCACUGGGACUGAGAUACGCCCCAGACUCCUACGGGAGGCAGAAGUGGGGAAUAUUGCACAAUGGGCGGAAGCCUGAUGCAGCACCGCCGCGUGCGGGAUGACGGCCUUCGGGUUGUAAACCGCUUUCGCCUGUGACGAGGCGUGAGUGACGGUAAUGGGUAAAGAAGCACCGGCUAACUACGUG